This is a long non-coding RNA of Coregonus clupeaformis (lake whitefish), 461 nucleotides long. RefSeq lists it as uncharacterized. The record is from RefSeq and is a predicted model, not a curated record. Lineage: Eukaryota; Metazoa; Chordata; Actinopteri; Salmoniformes; Salmonidae. The transcript is spliced from 3 exons.
CAUUUCUUAAUCUUUGAACCAGCCUUCGGUCCAGGAGAUAAGAUACAAUGAGAUGAGAGGAAGAUCAAGCCUGGUUAUAUCAGCUGUGUCGGUGAACCCCUCCCACAUCUGAACUGGCUGACACAUAGAGGGAAAAGCAUGAUCAGAGGUAUGUUUUGAUGUGAGAGAGGGUGCCAACCCCAAGUCCCGUCAUCACGAUCUCACCCACACUUAAGAUAACCUUCGGGCCAACUGGGACCCAAGGCUGUUAGGAGACACCGCUAGAGACACUAUUAUGUAAUUGUGAUGAACUGAGAGAAUAUUAGGGUAGCACUGUGAUUCAUUAAUCAUAUGCUGUCUUCCCUGCUCCUCUGUUCUUACCUCUUUCCCUUUCUGUCUUUUACACGCUCUCACACCUCUCUCUCCACCUCCUCUUUCUGCCUGUUUUUAUAAUGCACACCAGAUGUGCAUUGAAGUACAGA